This 253-nucleotide ribosomal RNA is filed under the name uncultured bacterium. RNAcentral's name for it is "partial 16S ribosomal RNA". The stretch from base 27 to 253 matches the Rfam family "Bacterial small subunit ribosomal RNA", at positions 550 to 776 of the family's 1533-position model. The record is from RNAcentral.
UACCAGCACCCCGAGUGGUCGGGACGAUUAUUGGGCGUAAAGAGCUUGUAGGCGGUUUGUCGCGUCUGCUGUGAAAUUUCGGGGCUCAACCCCGAACUUGCAGUGGGUACGGGCAGACUAGAGUGUGGUAGGGGAGACUGGAAUUCCUGGUGUAGCGGUGAAAUGCGCAGAUAUCAGGAGGAACACCGAUGGCGAAGGCAGGUCUCUGGGCCACUACUGACGCUGAGAAGCGAAAGCAUGGGGAGCGAACAGG